CCAAGAAUCUUGCGCAAUGGGCGAAGGCCUGACGCAGCGACACCGCGUGUGGGAUGACGCCUCUAGGGGUGUAAACCACUGUGAUAGGAGAAGAAGGGCAAGCUUGCUUGCUUUGACGGUACCCUAUUAGAAAGUAGCUGCUAACUACGUGCCAGAAGCCUCGGUUAGACGUAGGCUACGAACGUUAUCCGAUUUCACUGGGCGUAAAGGGACGCGUAGGCGGCUUAGUAAGUCGUGCUUUAAAUCCCCCUGCUUAACGGGGCGGAUGGGCGCGAUACUAUUGAGCUGGAGUUUUCUUCAGGAGAGCGGAACGUUCUUUGUAGCGGUAAAAUGCGUUGAUAAAGAACGGAACACCAAAGGCGAAGGCAGCUCUCUGGAAGUUUACUGACGCUGAGGCUCUAAAGCCAGGGGAGCAAAAG
RNAcentral lists this ribosomal RNA (419 nucleotides) under uncultured prokaryote. Its description in RNAcentral is "bacterial SSU rRNA". It matches the Rfam family "Bacterial small subunit ribosomal RNA", at positions 355 to 774 of the family's 1533-position model. The record is from RNAcentral.